This 460-nucleotide ribosomal RNA is filed under the name uncultured bacterium. RNAcentral's name for it is "partial 16S ribosomal RNA". It matches the Rfam family "Bacterial small subunit ribosomal RNA", at positions 338 to 795 of the family's 1533-position model. The record is from RNAcentral.
CCUACGGGAGGCAGCAGUGAGGGAUAUUGGUCAAUGGACGAGAGUCUGAACCAGCGACGUAGCGUGAGGGAUGACUGCCCUAUGGGUUGUAAACUUCUUUUAUAAGGGAAUAGAACGAGGCGCGUGUGCCUUUUUACAUGUACUUUAUGACUAAGGAUCGGCUAACUCCGUGCCAGCAGCCGCGGUAAUACGGAGGAUCCGAGCGUGAUCCGGAUUUAUUGGGUGUAAAGGGAGCGUAGAGGGUUUGUUAAGUCAGUUGUGAAAGGUUGCGGCUCAACCGUAAAAUUGCAAUUGAUACUGGCAGGCUGGAGUACAGUUGAGGUAGGCGGAAUUCGUGGUGUAGCGGUGAAAUGCUUAGAUAUCACGAAGAACCCCGAUUGCGAAGGCAGCUUACUAAACUGUGACUGACAUUGAUGCUCGAAAGUGUGGGUAUCAAACAGGAUUAGAUACCCUGGUAGUC